CAAGAGUCCUGUCAGCCCUCCCGGAUCACCUGCGGAAAGAGAAGGCGCUCAGCUGCCAGCAAGCCCAAAAUGGAGCCCGAAGCUUUUGGCUGACAACUUCGCUGUAGAGCCGGCACUCCAGCAGGUUCGGGCACAACGCCGGUGCCUUGCAUCCCGCACACGGAGGUAUUUUGGUGCGACCAGAGUAGAAACGCGCAGCCCGAGGAAGCGGGGCAGUUGUGGACGCCCCGGGCGAUGCUCAGCACCGGCCGGCACUGCCCGGCCCGGGCGCUCCCUUCGUCCAGCGCCGCGGCAGAAGGACCCGCACGGAGCAAACGGAACCCGCCCCGCUGAGCACCGGCAGCUCGGGUGCGCUUUAACCCCAGGCUUCGCACCUCUGAUGUGCUCAGAUCACCUCUGGGCCGGCAGGGAUGUCUCGAUGGAGAGACCUUACAGACCGGAAAGAUGCUUCACAAGUCAUUUUGUAGCUAUUUUUCAAAGCACCGCAUCAGUUGCGAUACCUACAACGUUUCCUUCCGGGGAUGUCUGGGCAAAGAGCGAUCAGGGGAUACUGAGGUCAUUUUGCCUGUAGGUUUUGUCCUUUAUGGGUUGGUAUGAGCUACCCUACUCUGCACAGCAGCUAGAGAUCUCUGAGAUCUGUGGUGCUUUACACUGCAAAAAUAAUACCUUUCUGACAGUUUAAGCAGUACAAUACAGUUUAGCAUAACUGCAUAAACAGCAGUACUUGGGCUUUUAACAGUAACUCUGUCAUCACAAAGACAAUAGUGCUUAUAUUUAUUUUUUAAAACCUUAAGAAAACCAUUCAUCUUUUCUAUUAUUAAAGAUUUUGGGUACUGAUGAAGGAUCAUAAAACUGAAAUAGAGCACAAUCUCAAUUUUUAUAUUCAGUGGAAGCUGUCCUAACAAGGAUCUUAGUUUUCCUGUUGCCACAUUGCAGCAUGCUCUGGCAGAAGCCUUUCCUACAAAUGAAGGGGUAUCAAAAAGAAGCCUUCAUUUUGCUGAGGGAUGUAAACCUCCAAAUGAAAUUUGGAGCUGCUCUUUCUUGCAGCUGCUUGACAUGACAUUUAUGUCAAAUGCCAACAGAAAUCCAUAACUUCUCUUUCCUCAGGCUAGAGAAAAAAGAGAAAGUAGAGAAGGCAGAAAUUCCUUCCAUUACAUGUAGGCCAACACAGAGAUAAAAGCUUCCUGAAAACUGGAGCCAAGAUUUCACCUUGUGGAAGAACACAAGUGUUGGAGAAAUGCAUUUUUUUUCCCUUUAAUACUCUUAUUUGUCCUUUUCCAGCCUCAUUUUGGUUUGUUUGUUGUUUGUUUUUUUUUUUUUUAAUUGUAAAUCACGAAAGAUUGACCCAGUCUUUCCUCGAGGGGCAUUUGUCAUAAUAACUACUACCAUUUUGGGGAGGGCAUUUUUCAUUUACCCUACUACUUCGUAGCUCCUUUUGCCAGACUCCCUCUGUGCGACUCCUCUGUAGCAGCUGAAACGUAUAGGUAUAAAAACAUCAGCCUCUGUGUGUUACUUGAGUUUCAUGAGCUGAAGGAUGAUCAGGACUGACACCCCACUUGAGAUUCACCACAAAUAAGAUUUGUGUAUUUAAAGAAAUUUUAUAGGCGCUGGGCCAUAAACUUCACUCUUGGCUCAUCUUUGCAUCCAGCAGCUCUUGAGCUCACGCAGCGACACACAGGGAGUGGUUAAUGAACACUGGUUAUUCCACCUCAAGGUGCAGUUUUACACCCAGCCUUCUUGUCUGUACUUCUCAAAGCAGGGAAGUGUUACAAACAUGUUUAAAUGAAUCCCAGCAUUGUGCA
Apus apus (common swift) is the source of this 1802-nucleotide long non-coding RNA. RefSeq lists it as uncharacterized. The record is from RefSeq and is a predicted model, not a curated record. The transcript has 2 exons. Lineage: Eukaryota; Metazoa; Chordata; Aves; Apodiformes; Apodidae.